AAGAAAGAUUAAUACCUGAUGGUAUGAUGAGAUUGCAUGAUAGCAUCAUUAAAGAUUUAUCGGUGUACGAUGGGGAUGCGUUCCAUUAGGUAGUAGGCGGGGUAACGGCCCACCUAGCCAACGAUGGAUAGGGGUUCUGAGAGGAAGGUCCCCCACAUUGGAACUGAGACACGGUCCAAACUCCUACGGGAGGCAGCAGUGAGGAAUAUUGGUCAAUGGACGAGAGUCUGAACCAGCCAAGUAGCGUGAAGGAUGAAGGUCCUACGGAUUGUAAACUUCUUUUAUAAGGGAAUAAACCCUCCCACGUGUGGGAGCUUGUAUGUACCUUAUGAAUAAGCAUCGGCUAACUCCGUGCCAGCAGCCGCGGUAAUACGGAGGAUGCGAGCGUUAUCCGGAUUUAUUGGGUUUAAAGGGAGCGCAGACGGGUCGUUAAGUCAGCUGUGAAAGUUUGGGGCUCAACCUUAAAAUUGCAGUUGAUACUGGCGUCCUUGAGUGCGGUUGAGGUGUGCGGAAUUCGUGGUGUAGCGGUGAAAUGCUUAGAUAUCACGAAGAACUCCGAUUGCGAAGGCAGCACACUAAUCCGUAACUGACGUUCAUGCUCGAAAGUGUGGGUAUCAAACAGGA
Molecule: ribosomal RNA, 624 nt
Filed under: uncultured bacterium
Lineage: Bacteria
Description: bacterial SSU rRNA
Rfam family: Bacterial small subunit ribosomal RNA
Source: RNAcentral